GUUUGCUAAAAUCCAAGGCAGGAUGUGGAAAGUGGAUUAGAGAACAAAUCUGACUCCAUAUUGGAUAUGUUUCUUUUACUUUAACCUUUGUACUGUAUUGCUUUUGCUAAGAGUUAGGAAUGUUGCCUAGAGCCUGAAAUAUACAAAGUAUCCCAUUCUUCAGGAAUAUCAUGGCCUGUGGACAUAUUGGACAACUGCAAGAACAAAGGAUUCCUACACCAAGAAGUCUGUAAUAAACAGCCACACCUCUUCCUCUUUGAGUAGAAAAGAAGCCUGGAUUCAAACUCUGUCAUGCUGACUCUGCCCAUUCCUGUGACUGCAGCCUGAUCUCACCUAGCCUGGGGUCUGCACCUUUUGUAAAAGAAUGUUGCCUAUGGCCUGAAAUAUCCAGGACAGCCCAUUCUCAAGGCUCUCACCUUUAAAGGUAUAAUACUUUUCCAUUCAUAAGAAGAUUACAAGGUGCAGAACAGAGAAUAACAUUUGUUCUGUGGAAGUUUACAAGAACAUUGUGACCUGACCUACAUGGACAGCUGCUAGAACAAAGAAUACAUCACCAAAAAGUUUGCAACAACUAACCAGCUCUUCCCUCAUGGUACCUUGAAAAAUGCUUU
This 611-nucleotide long non-coding RNA is filed under the name Capra hircus (goat). Its description in RNAcentral is "lncRNA (ENSCHIG00000002682.1)". Lineage: Eukaryota; Metazoa; Chordata; Mammalia; Artiodactyla; Bovidae. The record is from RNAcentral.